GUAGGUGGCAAGCGUUGUCCGGAAUUAUUGGGCGUAAAGCGCGCGCAGGCGGUUCUUUAAGUCUGAUGUGAAAGCCCACGGCUCAACCGUGGAGGGUCAUUGGAAACUGGAGAACUUGAGUACAGAAGAGGAAAGCGGAAUUCCACGUGUAGCGGUGAAAUGCGUAGAGAUGUGGAGGAACACCAGUGGCGAAGGCGGCUUUCUGGUCUGUAACUGACGCUGAGGCGCGAAAGCGUGGGGAGCAAACAGGGAUUAGAUACCCUGGUAGUCCACGCCGUAAACGAUGAGUGCUAAGUGUUAGGGGGUUUACGCCCCCUUAGUGCUGCAGCUAACGCAUUAAGCACUCCGCCUGGGGAGUACGGCCGCAAGGCUG
RNAcentral lists this ribosomal RNA (373 nucleotides) under uncultured organism. Its description in RNAcentral is "partial 16S ribosomal RNA". It matches the Rfam family "Bacterial small subunit ribosomal RNA", at positions 527 to 896 of the family's 1533-position model. The record is from RNAcentral.